AUUGAACGCUGGCGGCAGGCCUAACACAUGCAAGUCGAGCGGAUGAAGGGAGCUUGCUCCUGGAUUCAGCGGCAGACGGGUGAGUAAUGCCUAGGAAUCUGCCUGGUAGUGGGGGAUAACGUCCGGAAACGGGCGCUAAUACCGCAUACGUCCUGAGGGAGAAAGUGGGGGAUCUUCGGACCUCACGCUAUCAGAUGAGCCUAGGUCGGAUUAGCUAGUUGGUGGGGUAAAGGCCUACCAGGGCGACGAUCCGUAACUGGUCUGAGAGGAUGAUCAGUCACACUGGAACUGAGACACGGUCCAGACUCCUACGGGAGGCAGCAGUGGGGAAUAUUGGACAAUGGGCGAAAGCCUGAUCCAGCCAUGCCGCGUGUGUGAAGAAGGUCUUCGGAUUGUAAAGCACUUUAAGUUGGGAGGAAGGGCAGUAAGUUAAUACCUUGCUGUUUUGACGUUACCAACAGAAUAAGCACCGGCUAACUUCGUG
This 484-nucleotide ribosomal RNA is filed under the name uncultured bacterium. RNAcentral's name for it is "partial 16S ribosomal RNA". It matches the Rfam family "Bacterial small subunit ribosomal RNA", at positions 30 to 507 of the family's 1533-position model. The record is from RNAcentral.